Molecule: ribosomal RNA, 253 nt
Filed under: uncultured bacterium
Lineage: Bacteria
Description: partial 16S ribosomal RNA
Rfam family: Bacterial small subunit ribosomal RNA
Source: RNAcentral
UACGUAGGGGGCAAGCGUUGUCCGGAUUUAUUGGGCGUAAAGCGCGUGUAGGCGGCCAGAUAGGUCUGCUGUGAAAACUCGAGGCUCAACCUCGAGCUGUCGGCGGAAACCAUCUGGCUAGAGUCCGGAAGAGGAGAGUGGAAUUCCUGGUGUAGCGGUGAAAUGCGCAGAUAUCAGGAAGAACACCCGUGGCUAAGGCGGCUCUCUAGUACGGUACUGACGCUGAGACGCGAAAGCGUGGGGAGCGAACAGG